CUAUCCCGUCAUUCUCCAAUUUGGUUCUUUCUUUUUUUUGGGAGCUGGGGACCAAACCCAGGGCCUUGCACUUGCUAGGCAAGCGCUCUACCACUGAGCUAAAUCCCCAACCCCUGGUUCUUUCUUUUUAUAAAGUGUAUGAUCAUGUGUGUGUUUUCUUUUCUUUUUUAAAAUUUAUUUUAUGUAUAUGAAUACACUGUCACUGUCUUCAGACACACCACUUCAGACACACCAGAAGAGGGCAUCAGAUCCCAUUAUAGGUGGUUGUGAGCCACCAUGUGGUUGCUGGGAAUUGAACUCAGGACCUCUGGAAGAGCAGUCGGUGCUCUUAACUGCUGAGCCAUCUCUCCAGCCCUCCAAUUUGAUUCUUAAAACAAACAAAACAAACAAAAACAAGAAAAUAGGAAAACAAUCCAAAGUGUUUCUUUGUGGGAGUUGGGGAGGGAAACUCAAUAUGAAAAGUCCAUACACUUACCCCUAAUCAUAAAAAUGCUUUCUGGAGGAAACAGAAUGUUGCAUAAGAUACGUUUUUUUUUUUUUUUUUUUUUGGUCAUGUGCAUUUGCGGCUGCGUGUCUGCAUGGGUGUGUGCAGGUGUGUAUGCAUAGGUGUGUAUACAUGUGUGCAGAGGCCAGAGGUUGAUAUCAGAUGUCUUUCUUAACUGCUUUUCACAUUAUGUAU
This 679-nucleotide long non-coding RNA is filed under the name Rattus norvegicus (Norway rat). RNAcentral describes it as "long non-coding RNA NONRATT025690". The record is from RNAcentral. Lineage: Eukaryota; Metazoa; Chordata; Mammalia; Rodentia; Muridae.